UGCGUAGGCGGUUUUGUAAGUUUGGUGUGAAAUCUCCCGGCUCAACUGGGAGGGUGCGCCGAAAACUGCAAGGCUGGAGUGUGGGAGAGGUAGGCGGAAUUCCUGGUGUAGCGGUGAAAUGCGUAGAUAUCAGGAGGAACACCUGUGGUGUAGACGGCUUACUGGACCAUAACUGACGCUGAGGCACGAAAGCGUGGGGAGCAAAC
RNAcentral lists this ribosomal RNA (206 nucleotides) under uncultured bacterium. RNAcentral describes it as "partial 16S ribosomal RNA". It matches the Rfam family "Bacterial small subunit ribosomal RNA", at positions 568 to 773 of the family's 1533-position model. The record is from RNAcentral.